This 443-nucleotide ribosomal RNA is filed under the name uncultured delta proteobacterium. RNAcentral describes it as "bacterial SSU rRNA". It matches the Rfam family "Bacterial small subunit ribosomal RNA", at positions 338 to 795 of the family's 1533-position model. The record is from RNAcentral. Lineage: Bacteria; Deltaproteobacteria.
CCUACGGGAGGCAGCAGUUAGGAAUUUUGCGCAAUGGGGGAAACCCUGACGCAGCAACGCCGCGUGAAGGAUGAAGGCCUUCGGGUUGUAAACUUCUUUUAGCAGGAAAGAACAAAAUGACGGUACCUGCAGAAAAAGCACCGGCUAACUCUGUGCCAGCAGCCGCGGUAAUACAGAGGGUGCAAGCGUUAUUCGGAAUUACUGGGCAUAAAGAGCGCGUAGGCGGUCUGAUAAGUCUGAUGUGAAAGCCCUGGACUCAAUCCAGGAAGUGCAUCGGAUACUGUCAGACUUGAGUGAAGGAGGGGAGAGCGGAAUUCCUGGUGUAGAGGUGAAAUUCGUAGAUAUCAGGAGGAACAACAGUGGCGAAGGCGGCUCUCUGGACUUUAACUGACGCUGAGGCGCGAAAGCGUGGGGAGCAAACAGGAUUAGAUACCCUUGUAGUC